CCUUACGGCUCAGUAACACGUGGAUAACCUGCCCUUGGGUCCGGCAUAACCCCGGGAAACUGGGGAUAAUUCCGGAUAACGCACAUAUGCUGGAAUGCUUUAUGCGUAAAAUGGAUUCGUCUGCCCAAGGAUGGGUCUGCGGCCUAUCAGGUAGUAGUGGGUGUAAUGUACCUACUAGCCAACAACGGGUACGGGUUGUGAGAGCAAGAGCCCGGAGAUGGAUUCUGAGACAUGAAUCCAGGCCCUAUGGGGCGCAGCAGGCGCGAAAACUUUACAAUGCGGGAAACCGUGAUAAGGGGACACCGAGUGCCAGCGUCAUACGCUGGCUGUCCAGGUGUGUAAAAUACACCUGUUAGCAAGGGCCGGGCAAGACCGGUGCCAGCCGCCGCGGUAACACCGGCGGCCCGAGUGGUGAUCGUGAUUAUUGGGUCUAAAGGGUCCGUAGCCGGUUUGGUCAGUCCUCCGGGAAAUCUGAUAGCUCAACUAUUAGGCUUUCGGGGGAUACUGCCAGACUUGGAACCGGGAGAGGUAAGAGGUACUACAGGGGUAGGAGUGAAAUCUUGUAAUCCCUGUGGGACCACCUGUGGCGAAGGCGUCUUACCAGAACGGGUUCGACGGUGAGGGACGAAAGCUGGGGGCACGAACCGGAUUAGAUACCCGGGUAGUCCCAGCCGUAAACGAUGCUCGCUAGGUGUCAGGCAUGGCGCGACCGUGUCUGGUGCCGCAGGGAAGCCGUGAAGCGAGCCACCUGGGAAGUACGGCCGCAAGGCUGAAACUUAAAGGAAUUGGCGGGGGAGCAC
This 800-nucleotide ribosomal RNA is filed under the name uncultured archaeon. RNAcentral describes it as "bacterial SSU rRNA". It matches the Rfam family "Archaeal small subunit ribosomal RNA", at positions 81 to 879 of the family's 1478-position model. The record is from RNAcentral.